RNAcentral lists this ribosomal RNA (216 nucleotides) under Glomeromycotina sp. Its description in RNAcentral is "partial small subunit ribosomal RNA". The stretch from base 87 to 216 matches the Rfam family "Eukaryotic small subunit ribosomal RNA", at positions 733 to 864 of the family's 1831-position model. Lineage: Eukaryota; Fungi; Glomeromycota. The record is from RNAcentral.
GGGUCAGUAGGUUGGUCGUGCCACCGGUACGUACUGGUCUCACCGAUUCCUCCUUCCUGAAGAACCGUAAUGCCAUUAAGUUGGUGUUGCGGGGAAACAGGACUGUUACUUUGAAAAAAUUAGAGUGUUUAAAGCAAGCUAACGCUUGAAUACAUUAGCAUGGAAUAAUGAAAUAGGACGAUCGAUCCUAUUUUGUUGGUUUCUAGGAUUGACGUA